This 847-nucleotide long non-coding RNA is filed under the name Mytilus galloprovincialis (Mediterranean mussel). Lineage: Eukaryota; Metazoa; Mollusca; Bivalvia; Mytilida; Mytilidae. The record is from RNAcentral.
CAUAAAAGCCACAAUUAAAGCAGAUACCAUUGAAUGUAUUUGCAAUGGUUUGUCUUUUACCAUGCUGUUCAUUACUUUCAUUAUUGGACUGAGAAAUAGUUGUUUGGUUGAAAAUGUUUACAACUCUGUUUAUGUUCCUAAGUAAAAGAAUUGUACCCUGAUUAGUCAGGUGUAUGCCAUCACGGUGGUAGUAAGAAGAAACGAGAUCGCCGCCUCUGGAGACAAAUGCAUCUGUUUGUUUGAUGAUUUUUAACUUAUGUUCAGUAGAAACCCUGUGUAAUAUUGCAUUAUAAAUUUCUGUAUCAACAUUCCGUCUUGGACAAAUCUCAGAUACAGCAAUGUUUAUGCCUGGGUUUAUCGAUUUGACAGUUUUUAUCAUAUCAUCAUAUUUUUCUUUGAAAGCUUCUGGAUGUAUCCUUGACGAGGCAUCAUUUCCACCAACAACUAAAAUAAUACUUUUGUAAUGUUGUAUAUUAGAUUUUUUAAUCUUUUCUGUUAAUGUUGGUACUGUUGCGCCUCUAUUUGUUCGUAUGUGAACAUCUUUUCCAACUUUGUUUGCAUCGAUGCCUUUAAUUAUGGAACUUCCUAUUAUUCAUGCAGUGCUAGCAUUGAUUUCCUAAAAACAAGUUUAUUAAUGUAGUUAUUGGUUAAAACAAAAAAAAAUAUGGACCAAAUCAAGUACACCUUUUAGGGUGCGCUCGACUUUAGUGACUCAGCACGAGGUAUUUUGGAAUUUACAGGUUGGUUAGAACAUUUUGUAGAAAAUGAACACUAGCAUAUCAUAGAAAAUCAAGUGAGUAAUCUCUGUUUCAAAUUUUAUAACGAAAAUCUCUGUAUUUAAGGCUGU